GAUGAAGAACGCGAGCGAAAUGCGAUAAGUAGUGUGAAUUGCAGAAUUCAGUGAAUCAUCGAAUCUUUGAACGCACAUUGCGCCCCUUGGUAUUCCAUGGGGCAUGCCUGUUCGAGCGUCAUUUGUACCUUCAAGCUUUGCUUGGUGUUGGGUGUUUGUCUCGCCUUUGCGUGUAGACUCGCCUUAAAAUAAUUGGCAGCCGGCGUAUUGAUUUCGGAGCGCAGUACAUCUCGCGCUUUGCACUCAUAACGACAGCGUCCAAAAGUACAUUUUACACUCUUGACCUCGGAUCAGGUAGGGAUACCCGCUGAACUUAAGCAUAUCAAUAAGCGGAGGA
Molecule: unclassified non-coding RNA, 337 nt
Filed under: soil metagenome
Description: partial contains 5.8S ribosomal RNA, internal transcribed spacer 2, and large subunit ribosomal RNA
Rfam family: 5.8S ribosomal RNA (bases 1-121)
Source: RNAcentral